Molecule: unclassified non-coding RNA, 333 nt
Filed under: uncultured fungus
Lineage: Eukaryota; Fungi
Description: sequence contains ITS2
Source: RNAcentral
AACGCACAUUGCACUCUCUGGUAUUCCGGAGAGUAUGCUUGUUUGAGUAUCUGUAAACAUCUCAAAUCUCCCAGCGCUUGCGCAAAAGAGAAUUGGAUUUGAGCGAUCCCGACUCCUUCGUCAGAAAGAGGAGGGCCGCUUGAAAUGCAGGUGCAGCUGGACAUUCUUCUGAGCUAAAAGCAUAUCUAUUUAGUCCCUUCAAACGGAUUAUUACUUUUGCUUCAGCUAAUAUAAAGGUCGAAUGGACAACCAACGCUGAUUGCAGGAAAACUCGUUCUUAACCGAACUUGUGAACUCGAUCUCAAAUCAAGUAAGACUACCCGCUGAACUUAA